This 253-nucleotide ribosomal RNA is filed under the name uncultured bacterium. RNAcentral describes it as "partial 16S ribosomal RNA". It matches the Rfam family "Bacterial small subunit ribosomal RNA", at positions 524 to 776 of the family's 1533-position model. The record is from RNAcentral.
UACAGAGGGGGCAAGCGUUGUUCGGAAUUACUGGGCGUAAAGGGCGCGUAGGCGGCCGCCUAAGUCAGACGUGAAAUCCCUCGGCUCAACCGGGGAACUGCGUCUGAUACUGGGUGGCUUGAAUCCGGGAGAGGGAUGCGGAAUUCCAGGUGUAGCGGUGAAAUGCGUAGAUAUCUGGAGGAACACCGAUGGCGAAGGCAGGUCUCUGGGCCACUACUGACGCUGAGAAGCGAAAGCAUGGGGAGCAAACAGG